AUGAUAAUAACAACUACCAGAAUUAAUUUUGUGGCUAGAGCUUGCUGCUACAAUCAACAUGACUAUGUUUAUAAGAUGAAGUCAGUAAGCAACAAAGAUUCAAGGAAGCUAUUUUUCAAAAGAGUGUUUGGUUCAGAUCAUGCUUGCCCUGUGUAUCUGCAAGAAGUUUCAGCUCAAAUUUUAAAAAGAUGUGGUGGCUUGCCUCUUACAAUUGUGACUAUAUCUAGCCUUUUGGCUAGUGAGCGAAACAAAUUGAAGGAACAGUGGGUGCAUGUAAUGAAUUCUCUGGGCCCCAAUUUUGAGGUGAAUCCAACAUUGGAAGGAAUGAGGCAAAUACUGAGCCUUAGUUACAUAAAUCUUCCUCAUUAUUUGAAGACAUGCAUGCUAUAUUUGGGUAUGUAUCCAGAGGACUAUAUAAUCUGGAAAAAUGAUUUGGUCAGGCAAUGGGUAGCCCAAGGCUUUGUA
This 465-nucleotide ribosomal RNA is filed under the name Triticum aestivum (bread wheat). RNAcentral describes it as "partial small subunit ribosomal RNA". The record is from RNAcentral. Lineage: Eukaryota; Viridiplantae; Streptophyta; Magnoliopsida; Poales; Poaceae.